RNAcentral lists this transfer RNA (90 nucleotides) under Planctomycetaceae bacterium. RNAcentral's name for it is "tRNA-Ser". It matches the Rfam family "tRNA". From Rfam's summary of the family: Transfer RNA (tRNA) molecules are approximately 80 nucleotides in length. The record is from RNAcentral. Lineage: Bacteria; Pseudomonadati; Planctomycetota; Planctomycetia; Planctomycetales; Planctomycetaceae.
GGACGGGUGGCAGAGCGGUUGAAUGCACCGGUCUUGAAAACCGGCAGUCGCGAAAGCGGCUCGUGGGUUCGAAUCCCACCCCGUCCGCCU